Molecule: ribosomal RNA, 422 nt
Filed under: uncultured bacterium
Lineage: Bacteria
Description: bacterial SSU rRNA
Rfam family: Bacterial small subunit ribosomal RNA
Source: RNAcentral
GUGGGGAAUUUUGCACAAUGGGCGAAAGCCUGAUGCAGCGACGCCGCGUGAGGGAUGACGGCUUUCGGGUUGUAAACCUCUUUUAUCCACCACGAAGGCGGUGUAUUCGCACCGUUGACGGUAGUGGUUGAAUAAGCGCCGGCUAACUACGUGCCAGCAGCCGCGGUAAGACGUAGGGCGCGAGCGUUGUCCGGAUUUAUUGGGCGUAAAGGGCUCGUAGGCGGUUGAUUGCGUCCGCCGUGAAAGGCCUCGGCUUAACCGGGGUUUUGCGGUGGAUACGGGUCGACUUGAGGCAAUUAGGGGAGAUCGGAAUUCUACGUGUAGCGGUGAAAUGCGCAGAUAUGUGGAGGAACACCGGUGGCGAAGGCGGAUCUCUGGGAUUGUUCUGACGCUGAGGAGCGAAAGCGUGGGGAGCGAACAGG